CACGUCAGUGGCAUUGCAGAGUAGCUAUGUUCGGACGGGAUAACCGCUGAAAGCAUCUAAGCGGGAAGCCUCCCCUAAGAAAGAAAUCCCCAAA
This 94-nucleotide ribosomal RNA is filed under the name Candidatus Roizmanbacteria bacterium RIFOXYC2_FULL_38_9. RNAcentral's name for it is "partial 23S ribosomal RNA". It matches the Rfam family "Bacterial large subunit ribosomal RNA", at positions 2725 to 2818 of the family's 2925-position model. Lineage: Bacteria; Candidatus Roizmaniibacteriota. The record is from RNAcentral.